Non-coding RNA from Peromyscus maniculatus bairdii (prairie deer mouse), 941 nucleotides. The record is from RefSeq and is a predicted model, not a curated record. Lineage: Eukaryota; Metazoa; Chordata; Mammalia; Rodentia; Cricetidae.
UGCACAGGGAUGUGGGAGGACGGCCAGGAGCUAGGGGUGGUGCUGGCCAGUUUGGCAGUUUGUUCCAGGAACUGUGGACAGAGUUGUGGGGGAGGGGUGCGGAGGGGGAGGGAAUAAACAGCGAAGAGGAAACUCCAUUGCCAGUACUUGGAAAUUAGGAAGGGGCUGGAGUGUAGCUCAGUUAGCUUAGUGCUUGUUUAAGACUCACAGAGUCCUGGAGUUGAUCUCCAGAUCCAGGACAUGGAGGUGCAUACCUGCAAUACCAGCACGUGAUAGGUGAAGAUAAUAAGAGCAGUUCAAGGUCAUCUUUAGGGACAUAUGAAAUGCGAGGUCACUGUGGGCUACAUCUUGUCUUAAAAAAAAAGACAGAAACUCGGAGAAGAUCAACAAGGAGAUUGGCUGUGUAUCCUGUAAAUGAGCCGCAGGUCUCUGGGUUUUCCAGCCUCUGCUUCCUGGUCUUCCUGGCAGUGUUGGGCGUGGACUCUCUUUUGUAUCCUGGGCCUCAAUUUAGACCAAUCACUGGCUGCCCACUCCCAAAAGUUCUACACUUCCAUUGUCCCUGCAUAUCUUGCAGUCAGGAUAGAUUGUAGGUUGAAGGUUUUGUGGCUGGGUUGGUGUCCCAGUCUCAACACUGGGAGGUGUCUGGUUAAAGAAUAUGGCCAGUUCAGACUCUAUUUUCUCCAUUACUAGGAGUCUUCCCUAGGUUUACUCUCAUAGUAUUGUGGAAGUUUCCACUGCACUAGGGUUCCAUGUAGCCCCCCAAAUGUUCUCGAAUUCAUUAGGCUCUCUCCCCUGUACUGUCUUCCUCCACCCCUCCCCUACCACUUGAUCCCUCCUAAUCCAUCUGGAAAAUCAAUUUCUCCUUCCCAGGGAGAUCCAUACAUCCAGCUUUGAGCCCAAUUUGUUACUUAUCCUCUCUGGGUCUGUGGGUUGUAGCAUUC